This 405-nucleotide long non-coding RNA is filed under the name Zostera marina. RNAcentral describes it as "long non-coding RNA (ZMAR_LNC004009)". The record is from RNAcentral. Lineage: Eukaryota; Viridiplantae; Streptophyta; Magnoliopsida; Alismatales; Zosteraceae.
GAGAUGUUUGUUUGUCUCCGGCCGAAGCGACGGAGUGAUUGUUCUACCUUCAUCGAGGCCAUAGCGACACGAUGAGGUUGGAUCGUUAAGGCCGUAGCGACAAAACGAUAUCUAAUCUAUUGAGGCCAUAGCGACAAAAUAGAUUAGUUUCGGAACUAGGGUUUUGUGUAUUCCUAAGACUUCUACCCUUUGAGUUCAUCUCUGGCCGAAGCGACAGAGUGAUCUAUACAUCGAGGCCAUAGCGACAAGAUGUACUUGAAUUGUUAAGGCCAUAGCGACAAAACAAUUUUGAUUUGUUAGGGGUAAAGUCGUAAAUAUUAGGAACUUUUAAAAUUUUAACUUUUUAUUGCUAAAAAAGCGGAAAAACAAGAUGUAAAAAAUAAAAUCUAAUUAUUUUAUUUUGNN